This 422-nucleotide ribosomal RNA is filed under the name uncultured bacterium. RNAcentral describes it as "bacterial SSU rRNA". It matches the Rfam family "Bacterial small subunit ribosomal RNA", at positions 355 to 774 of the family's 1533-position model. The record is from RNAcentral.
UAAGGAAUAUUGGUCAAUGGAGGCAACUCUGAACCAGCCAUGCCGCGUGCAGGAAGACGGCCCUCUGGGUUGUAAACUGCUUUUAUUCGGGAAUAAACCUAUCUACGUGUAGAUAGCUGAAUGUACCGAAGGAAUAAGGAUCGGCUAACUCCUUGCCAUCAGCCGCGGUAAUACGGAGGAUCCAAGCGUUAUCCGGAUUUAUUGGGUUUAAAGUGUGCGUAGGCGGCCUAUUAAGUCAGGGGUGAAAGACGGUAGCUCAACUAUCGCAGUGCCCUUGAUACUGAUGAGCUUGAAUGAACUAGAGGUAGACGGAAUGUGACAAGUAGCGGUGAAAUGCAUAGAUAUGUCACAGAACACCGAUUGCGAAGGCAGCUUACUAUGGUUUUAUCGACGCUGAGGCACGAAAGCGUGGGGAUCAAACA